ACGUACACUCCUACGGGAGGCAGCAGUGGGGAAUAUUGCACAAUGGGCGCAAGCCUGAUGCAGCCAUGCCGCGUGUAUGAAGAAGGCCUUCGGGUUGUAAAGUACUUUCAGCGGGGAGGAAGGCGAUAAGGUUAAUAACCUUGUCGAUUGACGUUACCCGCAGAAGAAGCACCGGCUAACGCCGUGCCAGCAGCCGCGGUAAUACGGAGGGUGCAAGCGUUAAUCGGAAUUACUGGGCGUAAAGCGCACGCAGGCGGUCUGUCAAGUCGGAUGUGAAAUCCCCGGGCUCAACCUGGGAACUGCAUUCGAAACUGGCAGGCUAGAGUCUUGUAGAGGGGGGUAGAAUUCCAGGUGUAGCGGUGAAAUGCGUAGAGAUCUGGAGGAAUACCGGUGGCGAAGGCGGCCCCCUGGACAAAGACUGACGCUCAGGUGCGAAAGCGUGGGGAGCAAACAGGAUUAGAUACCCGUGUAGUCCCAUG
Molecule: ribosomal RNA, 479 nt
Filed under: uncultured organism
Description: partial 16S ribosomal RNA
Rfam family: Bacterial small subunit ribosomal RNA
Source: RNAcentral